RNAcentral lists this ribosomal RNA (301 nucleotides) under uncultured bacterium. Its description in RNAcentral is "partial 16S ribosomal RNA". It matches the Rfam family "Bacterial small subunit ribosomal RNA", at positions 509 to 807 of the family's 1533-position model. The record is from RNAcentral.
CAGCCGCCACGGGAAUACGAAGGGGGCUAGCGUUGCUCGGAAUUACUGGGCGUAAAGGGAGCGUAGGCGGAUCGUUAAGUUGGGGGUGAAAGCCCGGGGCUCAACCUCGGAACUGCCUUCAAUACUGGCGAUCUUGAGUAUGAGAGAGGUGUGUGGAACUCCGAGUGUAGAGGUGAAAUUCGUAGAUAUUCGGAAGAACACCAGUGGCGAAGGCGACACACUGGCUCAUUACUGACGCUGAGGCUCGAAAGCGUGGGGAGCAAACAGGAUUAGAUACCCGCGUAGUCCCUGUCUCUUAUAC